RNAcentral lists this long non-coding RNA (881 nucleotides) under Bos taurus (domestic cattle). RNAcentral describes it as "long non-coding RNA NONBTAT000229". Lineage: Eukaryota; Metazoa; Chordata; Mammalia; Artiodactyla; Bovidae. The record is from RNAcentral.
GAAAGAUAAAGCUAUAUCAAAGCUAACUCUCUAUGAAGUGGUUACUGCUAGCAAAAGGGAUCUGAUUUAAACAAUAGGGGAAAAAAAAUCUUGUGGGAAAUUGAAAGAAGGGUACAACAUGUCCUUUGCCUGCAUGUUUGUACUAGUUCCCAUAGCUGGGAAGAUGAUUUAAUACACAGUUUGUGCAACCUGUUUUUCUGGUAAUUACAAAUUAAGACAUAUGUCUUUACAGUAGCAAGAAGCUAACUGCCACUUUUAAGCAUUCCUCUGGCCCUGCUGAGUUAACUCCAUUACUCAAAAUCUCAACAAAGGUAAUUUCUAACAGAGCAUCCUGCUCCUAAGUUUUCCUUUUGCUGUGUUUCUUCCUUUCGAACUGCAGGAAUGCUAACUAGAAAUGGAAGUAUCCCAUCAAACUGCUAGGCUUACUUCUUCUACAGUGCAGGCCUCUAUAAUAUUAUAUACAUGCCAGAAAGUCAUGAAGGAAAAAAAAAAAGAAAUUUAGGCAUCAUGUCCAGACAAAUUAUAGCCUGCUUUUCUGUUUUCUUGCCUUUCUUUACUAUUUAAUUCAUCAAAUAAAAAGAUUUUUAGAUGCUCAUUGUUGGUACACUUAUAAAUUAAUUUCAUGCAUAUACACAGGUUUUAAAUUCACAUACACAGAACAUGACUACUACAUAAAGUGCAAAGAAACAAAGCUAUUUUUAAGUUAGUCAAUUAACAUUACACUGUCUAGAAAGAGUUAAGACCAUACUAACUUUUAAACUUGUGCAACUGGAAAGCAUUAACUCUUCAGUAAUAAGUAGGCAGUUUGUUUACUGAUAAAUUAUUUUCCUAAAAGUGUCUAUCGAUAAUAAAAGUUUGAGACCAGAACAAAAGAACAAGGA